This 497-nucleotide ribosomal RNA is filed under the name uncultured bacterium. Its description in RNAcentral is "partial 16S ribosomal RNA". It matches the Rfam family "Bacterial small subunit ribosomal RNA", at positions 28 to 507 of the family's 1533-position model. The record is from RNAcentral.
GACGAACGCUGGCGGCGUGCCUAAUACAUGCAAGUUGAGCGCUGAAGGAUGGUACUUGUACCAACUGGAUGAGCAGCGAACGGGUGAGUAACGCGUGGGGAAUCUGCCUUUGAGCGGGGGGCAACAUUUGGAAACGAAUGCUAAUACCGCAUAAAAACUUUAAACACAAGUUUUAAGUUUGAAAGAUGCAAUUGCAUCACUCAAAGAUGAUCCCGCGUUGUAUUAGCUAGUUGGUGAGGUAAAGGCUCACCAAGGCGAUGAUACAUAGCCGGCCUGAGAGGGAGAUCGGCCACAAUGGGACUGGGACACCGCCCAAACCCCUACGGGGGGCAGCAGUAGGGAAUUUUUGGCAAAGGAGGACAGGCUGAACCAGGAACGCCGCGGGAGGGGAGAAGGGUUUCGGAUUGGAAAACUCUGUUGGUAGAGAAGAACGUUGGGGAGAGUGGAAAGCUCAUCAAGUGACGGUAACUACCGAGAAAGGGACGGCUAACUACGUG